CCUACGGGUGGCUGCAGUGAGGAAUAUUGGUCAAUGGGCGGAAGCCUGAACCAGCCAAGUAGCGUGCAGGAUGACGGCCCUACGGGUUGUCAACUGCUUUUAUACGGGAAUAACGCGCCUUACGUGUAGGGCUUUGCAUGUACCGUAUGAAUAAGGACCGGCUAAUUCCGUGCCAGCAGCCGCGGUAAUACGGAAGGUACGGGCGUUAUCCGGAUUUAUUUGGUUUAAAGGGAGCGUAGGCCGCAUGUCAAGCGUGCUGUGAAAUGUCCGGGCUCAACCCGGGCCUUGCAUCGCGAACUGGCGGGCUUGAGUGCGCGGAAGGCAGGCGGAAUUCGGUGUGUAGCGGUGAAAUGCUUAGAUAUGACGAAGAACCCCGAUUGCGAAGGCAGCUUGCUGCAGCGGAACUGACGCUGAGGCUCGAAAGCGCGGGUAUCGAACAGGAUUAGAUACCCCUGUAGUC
Molecule: ribosomal RNA, 460 nt
Filed under: uncultured bacterium
Lineage: Bacteria
Description: partial 16S ribosomal RNA
Rfam family: Bacterial small subunit ribosomal RNA
Source: RNAcentral